Non-coding RNA from Marasmius tenuissimus, 99 nucleotides. NCBI's taxonomy places the organism in Eukaryota, Fungi, Basidiomycota, Agaricomycetes, Agaricales, Marasmiaceae. The record is from the annotation of a GenBank genome assembly.
UGCCCCAUGGCUGAGUUGGUUACAGCGUCCGACUGUUAUAAUGUGCUAAGUGCACAAUAGGCAAUCGGAAGGUCGUGAGUUCGAGCCUCACUGGGGCAG